This 710-nucleotide long non-coding RNA is filed under the name Capsicum annuum. RNAcentral's name for it is "long non-coding RNA (CANN_LNC021035)". The record is from RNAcentral. Lineage: Eukaryota; Viridiplantae; Streptophyta; Magnoliopsida; Solanales; Solanaceae.
CAACCCAAAACAAUCCAAUUUAAGUAGUAUUCUUCUAUACCCAAGUUUCCUUUCAAUAUCUUCCUUCACCAUCAUAGCUUCCUCUUCUUAGUUGAAUAUUCCGAUCUUAGUUAACGAUGUUGAGUUAGAAGAACGAUUUCCCAAUUACACCUUUUUUUGCAAUACUCUACGGUGUUUCCAUUACUAGAUCAACUUUGUUUGGAAAGGAUGGGAUACUUCUUGGAUCAGUUGACAUUUUUGAAUCCAAAGAUGAUUAUUUAUUUCGUGUUUCACUCCCCUUGUGUUUCACUCCCCUUGUGACACCAGGGAGUGAAACACGAAAUGAAUACUCAUCCUUGGAUUCAACAAUGUCAACUGAUCCACAAGUGGCCCGGCCUUUCCCAACGAAGCCGAUCCAAUAAGGACACCCGCCAUUAGCGUGAUUUAUAAGAUGGUUCCAUUCCUUUCUGUCUGGACAAGCAGAGAAAUGAACAAUUGUAGGCUGAUAGUUUUCUUGUAAAAGGCGGAAGGAAAUAAAGAGGGUUGGGAAAAUGGGAUAUAUUUUAUGAGAUAUAUUCCCUCAGUUUGAUGAAUAUUUUAAGAGAUCUGGUAGUGGAGAGAGGGUGGGAAAAAGUUCUAUUUUAGUUAUGUAUGUGAGUAGAUUCAUAGUUGUAGAAGAUUUGAAUAAAUUAAUUUUCUAUGUAAAUUUGAAAUAAUAUAUUUCGUUUAAA